UUAAUAUUUCAUUUCUUCUUUCUUCUCCCCACCACCACCAGCUGCUCCUCCGACCGCAGCACCACCACUAAGCCACUGUAACUUCAAGAUCUGCCACGAUCACUGUCCCCUCUUCCUCUAGCACCUCCUCCUCCUUCUCUCAGACCGUCGUACCCAAUUUCUGAUCCUCCAUUAACGCCAGAUCCGCCUCCUCUUCGUCCUCCUUCCUCACCAGCGCCACUUACACCUUUUCCAACUCCAAUACAAUCAAAUCUCACUUCUAAACCACCUCCACCAUCACCACCGCCAAUUUUAGACCUUCAAUUAGUUAUGGUAUGAUUAAUUUUGGUUGAUUUUUAAUUUAUACUGAUUUUGUUCGAUUGGUAUUUAAUAUCCCAAUGAAAAUCUUAAUUUGAUCAGAUCCAAUUUGUUUUUGAAAAAUUUAGCGAUUUUUCUUUUUAAUUCUCAGAGAUUGUUAUCCCAUCGAUUGAAUGGAAUUUUGCUCCUAACAAAUGAUUUAGAUCUUCUUACCAUUAAAUCGAAUUGAAAUUUCUCAAAGGAUACAAAAGGGAAGGGUAUCUCUAUGAAGGAUAAAUUUAGGGGGAACUCAUUUGGAAUGUGGCAGAAAUGAUUCGUAAAAAUUGGGAUUUGGGUUUUAUUAUCGCAAACAUAAUCUGGGAUCAGAAGAUUAUGAAGAUAAAACACAAAAUUGCAAGAGUAAAAGGGUGGAAUUCAAGACGUUCAAGAUGGUAACAAGCUUACUUUCUUUAACAAAUUGAGUUCCUUAACAUUUAUUUUACUUAAACUUGGUUAAUUAUAGAUCUCUAUGUUUGGACCAAUUAUGUUUGAUAGAAAUUUGGUGAAACCGCUCAAUAGGAAAUUUAUGAUGAAACCAAUUUCAGUUUCAUCUAAAUUUGGUGAAAACCGAUUUUGGUUUCAUCUAACUUUUCCUUAAUUUUUUUGAAAUUUUUAGGUGAAACCAAUGUUGUUGGUGAUAAAUAGUAUUAUAUUGAAACAACCAUUUAUUUCAUCUGCGUUUGAUCAAUAUUUUUUGAGGUUUUAUUGAUGAAACUAAACUUUUCUAAGUGAUUUUUUUUUGUUGAAACAGUUUUGGUUUCAUCUGAUUUGUUUUUUAUUUUCUAUGAAACCAGUUAUGGUUUCAUCAAUAUUUCAUUAAUGAUACAGAGAUGGAUUAUUUUCUAAUGAAACCAAACAGUUUUUUGAUGAAACCAGUUUUGGUUUCAUCAAAAUUUUAGUUACGCAGGUGAUGGUAUUGGCAGUUGUGGUGCUACUGGGGGUGGUAAUGGCGGUGGUGUUGUUGACAUCGGUGGUGGUUGGCGUUGGUGGUGGAUAGUGGUGGUUGGAUUUGUUCGAAACGACGACGGUGGUGGUUUUAUGAAUAUUUGGUGGUGGUGGUAGAUGACGUUAGCAUAAGUUGCUGGUUGCUGGUUGGUGGUGGUGGUGGUAUGUGAGCUGGUCGACGGCGUUGGCGGUGGUCCGCGAAAAUGGUGGUCGGCAUCGGUGAUGGUAGAUUCGAUUCCUAACUUAAGCAUAAGUAUGAGAAGAAGGUGUGGGAGGAGGAAGCAGAGAAAAAAUGUGGGGAUACCUUAAUGCUUUGGAAUUUCCUUACAAAAAGGAAGAAGAUUAUAGAGUCAAUUCCCACCUUAUGGUCAACUGCGUUUCUGGGUUUACCUUCGCUUCAAAAACUCUCGACUGAAGAAGACAAGAAGAGGUUCAACAAUGAGUAUCGAACAAACAAGAGACUUUACCGCCAGUAUCCGCAGAAUCCACGACAGCGACAAGAUGCAUGAACGAUAUUGUUAUUAACAUAGAAGAGUACAUCAUCCAACCGUGGAGUGUUAUUCCCUUUGGUAUAUUGUGCAAAGGAAGCGAGCCAGAGGUGAGUUGGAGAUAGGGGACCACAGCAUUAACAACGAUCUGCUUCCUCAACACCAAGUCAUGAUGAUUUCACAUGAUCCUACAGAUGGAGAAACUUGGAGGCCUUGGGAAGACGCGGAAGAAGAAGAAGCAUGCGAAGCUUCCGAGACAGCGGUCUUUCCGAAUACAAAUGGAGUCGCUAGUAAGUUUGCUCAAACUAUUCUGGCUCAGCAAUUUUUCGACUCUCUAGGUUUUAGUGAAAACCAAAACCGCGAAGCAUCCAAAGCUAUAACUGCAAUUGCAUCUGGGAAAACAUAUGAUCCGACGCCUAAGGAAGUCAUCGUUUUUAUGGACGAAGACAUAUGCUACCCGGGAGAGCACCUUCUCCCCUUGUACCUAACAACUUUCAUUAACAAACAACCUCUCAAGCGAGCUUUCAUAGACAGCGGAGCUUCACUUAACCUAAUUUCAUUACAUACAUUGGAGUUUCUGGGAGUAUCACGAUAAGCAAUUAAGAUGUGUGCAACAAUUGUGAGAGAAUUUGGAGGACAAACCCAGACGGCAAUCGGGAUAGUACAUUUGAUGAUGAAAAUCAGACCCAUCAGAGCACUCACCCUUUUUUACGUGCUUGAGGAUGACACCACAUUCCAUGUACUACUCGGAAGAGGCUGGCUUUUGAACAACAAAGUAGUAGCAUCAACAUAUCAUCAGUGUGUCAAGACUAAUAUUGGAGGAAAGCAGUACCGGAUCCCAGCCACGAGCAAUCUAUUCGGACUAGAAGAGCCUUACAUGGCUGAUGCGGUUUUUACACACAGCCUGUCCUGGACCAAGAAGUUCAACCGGGGCAUCACCUUAUUCCUUGGUAUACGGGGAAGAUGCAAUAAUACCAGCAGAGAUCGUUAUUCCUUCAGCACGAGUAUCCAUGGCUAGUAUCACCACUCCGGACGAGGUUAGCCGAUUUUCCCAUAUUGAUAAUUUGGAGGAACGAAUAGUUAAGGCUGAACGAUUUGCGGACAAGUACAGGCAAAGGACAUCUAGAUACUAUAACCAGAAGGUAAAGGAACGAACUUUCUCAGAAAAUGACAUAGUCAUGAAAAUCUCCCCAUAUGUUCAACGAGAUGCAAAGUCCGGAAAGUUUUCCGCAAACUGGGAAGGCCCGUAUAUGAUUAGUGAAGCUACGAAAAGUGGAUACUAUUAACUCAAGCGGAUGAGCGAGUCCCGGAUCAAUACCCCCAUCAACGGUAAAUGGUUUAAAGCCUAUUAUGCAUAAUAACUAAAUGUACGCCAGAUGGUUGAUUAUCAAUAAUAUGAG
Long non-coding RNA from Papaver somniferum (opium poppy), 3169 nucleotides. RefSeq lists it as uncharacterized. Lineage: Eukaryota; Viridiplantae; Streptophyta; Magnoliopsida; Ranunculales; Papaveraceae. The record is from RefSeq and is a predicted model, not a curated record. The transcript is spliced from 3 exons.